UACCUGCAGCUCGAGUGGUAACCGCUAUUAUUGGGCCUAAAGCGUCCGUAGCCGGUUUGGUAAAUAUCUGGGUAAAUCGUGAGGCUUAACUUCACGAAUUUCGGAUAGACUGCCAGACUUGGGAUCGGGGGAGGUCAGAGGUACUCCAGGGGUGGCGGUGAAAUGUUGUAAUCCUUGGAGGACCACCGGUAGCGAAGGCGUCUGACUAGAACGAGUCCGACGGUGAGGGACGAAGCCCUGGGGACGCAAACCGGAUUAGAUACCCGGGUAGUCCAGGGUGUAAACAAUGUGGGCUUUGUAUUGGAGGUCCCACGUGGGCGUCCAGUGCAGAAGAGAAGUUGUUAAGCCCACCGCCUGGGAAGUACGGUCGCAAGGCUGAAACUUAAAGGAAUUGGCGGGGAGCACAGCAACGGGAGGAGCGUGCGGUUU
This 429-nucleotide ribosomal RNA is filed under the name uncultured archaeon. RNAcentral's name for it is "bacterial SSU rRNA". It matches the Rfam family "Archaeal small subunit ribosomal RNA", at positions 474 to 903 of the family's 1478-position model. The record is from RNAcentral.